AGUGAACGCUGGCGGCGGGCCUAACACAUGCAAGUCGAGCGGCAGCGCGGGGGCAACCCUGGCGGCGAGAGGCGGAAGGGUGAGGAUUUCGUCUGAAUCUGCCUUCUUGUGGGGGAUAACGUAGGGAAACUUACGCUAAUACCGCAUACGUCCUACGGGAGCUAGUUGGGGGCGGUAAGAACUCACGCACAAAUAUGAGCCGACGACCGAUUAGCUAGUUUGUGGGGUAAAGACCCACUAAGCCGACGAUCGGUAGCUAGUCUGAGAGGAGGAUCAGCCGCACUGGGACUGAGACACGGCCCAAGGUCCUACGGGAGGCAGCAGACUGGAAUAGGGGACAGUGGGCGCAAGCCUGAUCCAGCCAUGCCGAGUGUGUUAAAAAGACCUUCGGGUUGUGAAGCACUUUUGUCCGUAAAAAAAUCCCUGGAGCUAAUACCUACGGGGGAUGACGGUACCGGAAGAAUAAGCACCGGCUAACUUCGUG
This 484-nucleotide ribosomal RNA is filed under the name uncultured bacterium. Its description in RNAcentral is "partial 16S ribosomal RNA". It matches the Rfam family "Bacterial small subunit ribosomal RNA", at positions 29 to 507 of the family's 1533-position model. The record is from RNAcentral.